GCGAUGAGCUUAUUUGCAUAAGACGAGAUUGACGCGCCGUCAUCGGCAAUGCACAAUGUGGAGUGCUGUCUCUCGCAGCAAAGCGUAGAAAAAGACGCCUUACGGGGCGUCUU
This 113-nucleotide small RNA is filed under the name Halalkalibacter krulwichiae. Its description in RNAcentral is "Bacillus krulwichiae BsrF". It matches the Rfam family "BsrF". The record is from Rfam by way of RNAcentral. Lineage: Bacteria; Bacillati; Bacillota; Bacilli; Caryophanales; Bacillaceae.